Molecule: unclassified non-coding RNA, 208 nt
Filed under: Hevea brasiliensis (rubber tree)
Lineage: Eukaryota; Viridiplantae; Streptophyta; Magnoliopsida; Malpighiales; Euphorbiaceae
Source: RNAcentral
UGAAGGUCUGAAUGUAUGUAUCUCUUCGCUGCUGCCAAAGAUGUCUUUAUAAUAAAAAAUCUAAUCCCAAAGAUAAGAAUCAAACUUGAAAAAUUUUUGAAAUUCAAAAAAGACAUAUUCUUUGCUCUGCAAUCAUAGCCAAUUUUCAGCCUCUUCCCUUAUGAUUCUGUCUCUGACUUCUUCAGAAAAGUUGUAGCUCUACUUCUUA